GUCUAUAGCCAUGUCACCCCGAACAAGCCUGAUCCCGUCUGAUCUCAAAAGCUGAGCAGGGUCAAGCCUGGUUAGUACCUGGAUGGGAGACCACCUAGGAAGAUCAGGUGCCAUAGGCA
Molecule: ribosomal RNA, 119 nt
Filed under: Pteropus alecto (black flying fox)
Lineage: Eukaryota; Metazoa; Chordata; Mammalia; Chiroptera; Pteropodidae
Source: RNAcentral